CGGUCAAUGUGGGAUGUCGUAGUGCUAUUGUAUUAUCACAGCCAGCAUUGAUGAGCC
Molecule: microRNA precursor, 57 nt
Filed under: Magallana gigas (Pacific oyster)
Lineage: Eukaryota; Metazoa; Mollusca; Bivalvia; Ostreida; Ostreidae
Description: Mgi-Mir-2-o56_pre stem-loop
Source: RNAcentral